This 67-nucleotide transfer RNA is filed under the name Tylomelania sarasinorum. Its description in RNAcentral is "tRNA-Gln". The record is from RNAcentral. Lineage: Eukaryota; Metazoa; Mollusca; Gastropoda; Pachychilidae.
UUAAUGGCAGUGUAAGAGCACAAAGAGCUUUGAUUUCUUCUGAGAGGGACACACCCCUCCCAUUAAG